CUAGUUUGGUUUAGGUGCGUUAAAUGUGCGUUAAAUGAUUGUUUUAAGUUAUUUCACUUCUAGGUGGAACUUAUAACGAGGACGAGCACAUCCAGGGGCGUCAAGGGGGUUACGACCCGGCGACAUACCAGUGAGUGGGCAUUGCUUUCUAUAUAUAUAUAUACCUAUAUACUCGAUUUCCCCAGAAAUCAAAUUUAAAUGAAAAAUAUAUUGAAAUGAAAUGAAAUAUGAUGUGAUUGCCAUGCAUAGAAUGUUAUGGAUAUUAUGAACUGUCGUAUGAUGCAUAUAUGUAUGAUGGUGCUGUGGACGCACAGGUAAGUAUUUAAUUACUGUUAUGUUGAGGAUGAUGAUAUAUUGAGCUCAUAUCCUGCACCAUGGUUUAGUGCUUAUAGUAUUCACCGCAUCGCACGCUCGCCUUGGAUCCAAGUAGAUGCUGGUCGUACAGUCCACGCGGAGUGGGUACGACGGGCCAGUCGUAGAGUGUUAGUGAGAUUAUGACUGGUGGGUGACCUUAGGUUAUUGUAUACAGAUGAUUGAUGAGAGAAGCACUAGAGCGAAUAUUACCAUGAGUCGUUCAGACUACAUUAGGUGGUUCCGACUUAUGUGCAGAAGGCCGGACAGGUCACGCGGAGUGACUCCGGCAGAGAGUGAGAUUGAUAGAUGUUGAGCUCUAGGUUCAAUCGUUCAGGGCUAUUAGAGGGCCUCCGAUUGAUUAUUUCUUUUUUACCUGAUUAUAUUAUGUUAAUGCAUUCAUACUACACUGUUGAAAUUGGCAUGGUACAUUCUUUAUUUGAAUCUGUUAUAAGAUUGAUGAUUGAGACAGUUGAGAUAUAUAUGCUAUAUACUAUUUUUUCUGGGAAAGUAUACAGGUUUUCCAAAAAGGGGUUAUAAAUGUGGAUUUAUGAAAUGUUUUGGAAAAGCUUUAUUUUCGCCCACUCACGUUUUCUGUUUUUUCGCCCCUCCAGGUUCUAGUUGAUAGUUGAGGCGUUGGUGGCCUACGAGACUGCUUCGGCGUUCUGACAGACUAAAUAAAUGUAGGGAUUCACCCGAGGGUGUUGUAAAUUAGUUAUGUUUCCUACUUGACUGCACCUAGAUGCUUAUGCUCUGUUUAUGUGUGUUUAGUACACUCUUAUGCACAUAGAAUGCUCGGUUGUAAAUAACUGCAAUUAGUGGUUUUCGUUGACUCGUAUUUUUAUUAUUAAAUCGUUUCCGCUUGCGUUAUGGUUACGUCACACUCACGUGACGGCCAGCACGUCCUAGUCUUCGGGUUAGGGUGUGUCAGUUUGGUAUCAGAGUAUAGGUUGCAGUCCUGUAUAACUAAUGAGUUCUUCUAUUGAUUUUGUUAUGUUUUCUGUCAGAAUUAUGCCGCCUCGUAGAGAUCCUCGCCGUGCUGCUGAGCCUAAUUUCCCCGAUAUAACUCAGUUAGGGGCAGCAGCAAUGGCUCAAGCUUUUCAGGCUAAUAUCCGUCCUCCUCAGAGAACGCCCGUAGAGACGAUGUAUAAUCUGAAACUGGAAACUUUUGAGGGAAAUGAAGGUUAUGAAGGGGCAGAAAAGUGGUUAGAUCGAAUUGAGCAGACCUUUCAAGUGAUGCAAAGUCAGGGAAACCUGCCAGCUAAUAGAUGGGUGGAGACCACCACCUGGUUUUUGGGCCGUGAGCCAGCUGCGUGGUGGAUAAAUCAGUCGAGGCACAUGGCACCUGAAAGGGCAGCCGAAUGGGAGGUAUUUAAGGAAAAUUUUAUGAAGAGAUUUGUUCCUCCGGAAUAUAUAUAGAUCGCAAGAAACAGGAAUUCACCAGUCUGAAGCAGAGGAAUAUGUCUGCACAUGAGUACUACAGGAAGUUUACUGAUUUAUCCCGUUAUGAUUCUGAUUUAGCGGGUAAUCAAGCAGAAAUGCUUCGUCGUUUCAAGCUAGGAUCUAAGAAGAAGUACAGAACGUUUGCCAAUGCACUUCCCUGUGCCGAUUAUCAUGAGUAUUUUGAGAUUCUGGUCAGGAUGGAAGACUCUGAUAAUCUUCCGGACAGUGAGGAUGAAGAGGAUAAGGGUAAUGGUCAGAAGAAAAAUGAGAAAGGUAAAGGUGUUUCCAUUCCAGGACCUCGUCAGACGCAGAAUUUCAAGAAAAGUGGAAUGAGUUCGAGUUCUUUCCAGUGGUGGAUUUAGUGCCACAGGUCCGAGGAGAGGAGGAGGUGGUAGGUUUGGUAAUGGACCUAGAUUUUCUGGUCAGAGAGGCUUUGGUGGUACUGGUAGUUCGGGUCCUCCGUUAUGUCGCCGUUGUAAUUUCCGACAUCAUGGGGAAUGUAGGAGAAGCAGUGGUGCAUGCUUUACAUGUGGUCAGACAGGACAUAGAGCUAUGUAUUGUCCCCAGAAUCAGCAGAGGCCCCAGCAGCCUGUUAUGCCAACAUCAGCACCGACUCAACAGAACUUUAAUUCAGGCAGUUAUGGCCAAGGUGGUCGUGGUGGUGCUUAUCACUAUCAGGGUGAUGCUGCUCCUUAUGCUCCGGGACAGUAUCACUAUUCCCAGGAUCCUUAUUUUCAGAGUGGAUAUUCUCAGGAUCAGGGAGGUUAUACUUCAUAUCCGUCUAUGCCAGCUAGCGGAUCUCAGUGGUAUCAGGGGGCCAGCCCCAACAGAGCGGAGUUGCUGCUAGUAGUACAGGGUCGUUUAGGCCGCCUGCCCAGACAGGUCAAGGACGUACUCAUCAGGGACGAGGUAACCAGAGUGGCAGAGGUCGUGGAGGACGACAGUCAGCUCAGGGACGUGUUAACCACAUAUCGCUACAAGAUGCUCAGAACCAUCCAGACUUGAUUAUGGGUACGUUGAAUGUUCUUGGUCAUUUUGCUAAAGUCUUGAUUGAUUGUGGUGCUACACACUCUGUGAUUUCUCAUACAUUUGCUCAAAUAACGCAACCUCAUCCUUCACCUCUAGGGUUUGAUUUAGAGUUUGCUAUGCCUAGAGGGGAUAAAUGUUAUGUUGAUAGUUUUUACUCUGGGUGUCCAGUGAUGGUAGAUAAUGUCAUUAUGCCUGCUAAUCUUAUCCCAUUAGACAUCGUGGAUUUUGAUGUGAUUUUAGGGGCGGAUUGGUUGCAUUAUAAUCGCGCCCAUAUAGAUUGUUACGGGAAAUCAGUUACUUUUCUUCGUCCUGGACUACUUGAGGUUACUUUUGUGGGUGAAAGAAGUGGGGUGAGGCAUGGUGUUAUUUCCGCCAUAAGGGCGAAGAAAUUGUUAUCCAAGGGUUGUCAGGGAUACUUGGCACAUGUGGUUUUGAAUGAUGUUGAUUCCGGUAGUGUGGAGGAAGUCGGAGUAGUCAGACACUAUCCUGAUGUAUUUCCAGAUGAUUUACCUGGGUUGCCUCCAGAUAGAGAUGUGGAAUUUUCGAUUGAUUUGCUUCCAGGUACGAACCCUAUCUCUUUGGCUCCUUAUAGAAUGGCACCAGCGGAAUUAAGAGAGUUGAAAAUUCAAUUGCAAGAGUUAAUUGAUAAAGGUUUCAUUCAGCCUAGUUCUUCACCUUGGGGAGCUCCAGUGUUGUUUGUAAGAAAGAAAGAUGGAACUUUGAGAUUGUGCAUUGAUUACAGGCAAUUGAAUCGGGUGACGAUUAAAAACCGUUAUCCCUUGCCUCGUAUAGAUGAUUUGUUUGAUCAGCUCAAAGGUGCCUGUGUGUUUUCUAAGAUCGAUUUGAGGUCUGGGUAUUAUCAAUUAAAGAUUAAAGAUGAGGAUGUUCAUAAAAACAGCUUUCAGGACUCGUUAUGGGCAUUAUGAGUUUUGGGUGAUGCCAUUUGGAUUAACGAACGCUCCUGCAGCUUUCAUGAGAUUGAUGAUGAAUGAAGUAUUCCAGGAAUAUCUUGACAAGUUUGUUAUUGUUUUUAUUGAUGACAUCCUGGUAUAUUCUAAGUCGAAAUCAGACCAUAUUCGACAUCUUAACUUGGUGUUAAGGAAAUUGAGGGAAACACCGAUUAUAUGCCAAAUUUAGUAAAUGUGAAUUUUGGCUGGAUCAAGUGGCAUUUUUGGGACAUGUGGUAUCAGCUCAGGGAAUUCAAGUGGAUCCUCAAAAGAUAGCAGCAGUGGAAAAUUAGGAACAACCUCGAACGGUCACUGAGGUGCGGAGUUUUCUUGGUUUGGCAGGUUAUUAUAGACGGUUUGUUCAAGACUUUUCUAUGAUUGCCUUGCCAUUAACGAAGUUAACCAGGAAGGAUGUUAAGUUUGAGUGGGAUGAAAGUUGUGAGCAAAGUUUCCAACAGUUGAAGUAUUGCCUUACUCAUGCACCUGUGUUAGUACUUCCUGAUGAUAACGGUAACUUCGAGAUCUAUAGUGAUGCUUCUUUUGAAUGGUUUGGGUUGUGUUUUGAUGCAGCAUAGUAGAGUGAUUGCCUAUGCUUCUAGGCAGUUGAAGACUCAUGAAAGAAACUAUCCGACUCACGAUCUUGAGUUGGCAGCUAUUGUGUUUUGCUUUGAAGAUUUGGAGACACUAUCUCUAUGGCGAGAAAUGUAAGAUCUUUACCGAUCAUAAAAGCCUUCAGUACCUUUUCACUCAGCAUGAUCUUAAUCUUCGUCAGAGAAGAUGGUUGGAAUUGUUAAGUGAUUAUGAUUGCACGAUUGAGUACCAUCCGGGUCGUGCAAAUGUGGUAGCUGAUGCUCUGAGUAGGAAGCCUCAAGGGCGACUUAAUGCUUUGUAUACCAGUCGUGUUCCUCUUCUGGCAGAGUUGAGAUCUACUGGAGUAGAAUUAGAAUGGGAAGAGCAAAGUGAAGCUUUUCUUGCCAAUUUUCAAGUCAAACCAAUUUUAAUUGAUCGGGUGCUUGCAGCUCAAUCGUUGGAUGAAGAAAUUCAAGAAUUGAUCAAUUUAAGAAAUGAAGGGAAGAAGAAAGAUCUUAAGAUCCGAGGAUCAGAUGGUAUGCUUAUGCAAGAGAACAGGAUGUAUGUGCCUAAUAAUGAGGAACUGAAGAAAGAAAUCUUGGAUGAAGCACAUUGUUCGGCUUAUGCUAUGCACCCAGGAGGAACUAAAAUGUAUCAUACCAUUCGACCAUUCUACUAUUGGCCGGGUAUGAAGAGAGAGAUUGCGGAGUAUGUGAGUAGGUGUAUUGUCUGCCAGCAGGUUAAGGCUGAAAGAAAGAAGCCGUUUGGGAGAUUGCAACCACUUCCCGUUCCCCAGUGGAAAUGGGAGAAUAUAACGAUGGAUUUUGUGUAUAAGUUGCCACGUACACAAAAUGGUUUGAUGGCAUUUGGGUGGUUGUAGAUCGACUUACCAAAUCAGCACAUUUUAUUCCAGUAAGGGAGAAGUACUCUUUAAAUAAGUUGGCUCAGUUAUUCAUAUCGAAGGUUGUAAAGUAUCAUGGUGUCCCAGUGAAUAUUAUUUCUGAUCGAGAUCCAAGAUUUACUUCUAAGUUUUGGAUAGCUUUUCAAGAAGCUUUGGGUACUAGAUUGCUUUACAGUACAGCUUAUCAUCCACAGACAGAUGGUCAGUCAGAGAGAACUAUUCAGACACUCGAGGAUAUGUUGAGAUCCUCUGUGAUGCAAUUUGGUGAUUCUUGGCAUGAUCGUUUGGAUUUGAUGGAGUUUGCCUAUAAUAAUAGUUUUCAUUCGAGUAUUGGGAUGUCUCCAUUUGAAGCACUUUAUGGUAAAGCUUGCCGUACGCCAUUAUGUUGGUCAGAGGUUGGUGAAAGAAUACUUGAGGGCCCAGAGAUUGUGGAUGAGACUACUCAGAAUAUUCAGGUAAUUAAGUCUAACCUGAAAGUGGCCCAGGAUAGACAAAAGAGCCUAGCGGAUCGACAUACCACGGACAGAAUGUAUAAUGUGGGCGACUAUGUUUUUCUGAAAUUAUCGCCUUGGAGAGGUGUGGUUCGCUUUGGAAAGAAAGGAAAGCUAAGUCCCAGGUACAUUGGACCUUAUGAGAUCACUGAGAGGAUUGGUGGAGUUGCUUACAGGUUGGAGCUACCUCCAGAGUUGUCUAAGGUACAUAAUGUGUUCCAUGUCUCGAUGCUUCGGCAUUAUGUGUCAGAUCCUUCACAAUGUGAUUCCUCCUCAACCAUUGGAAAUUAAUCCGGACUUGACGUACGAUGAGGAACCAGUGACUAUACUGGAUUGGAAAGAUAAGACCUUGAGGAAUAAGACCGUGAGCUUGGUGAAAGUAUUGUGGAGAAACCAUUCAGCUGAAGAAGCUACUUGGGAGACAGAAGAUCGGAUGAGAGAUAUGUAUCCGAGGUUAUUCUAUGACUUUUGAUGUUCUGGUUAGUGAUUGGAAUUUCGGGGACGAAAUUCUAUAAGGAGGGGAGAUUGUCACAGCCCGUCCCAGAGUUACUAAAUACCGAGGACGUGAAAUUACUAAAACGCCCUUAAACGGGAUUAAGGUGCGUAAAUUUGGUAUUUGUUUUACACUAAGAUCCUAAACUAGGGUUAGAAUUAUAUUAGUAUGUGUUAAUUUAAUUUGUGUUUGGACUUAGGGUGGGGUCCUACCCCCUAAAUCCCUCCCCAAAACCCGUGGGAUGUCUCUCUCUCAUCUCCCUUCACUCUCUCUCUCUUUCUUCAUUUCAGUAUCACUCUCUCUCUCUUACUCUCGAACUCUCUCAAGCUCUCGGACAAACACCAAGAACAAUCACAAUCCUACACCAACGUCCGAUCUAAGAUCACCACGACACUCCUUAGGACCUCACGAGCACGGGAAUACCAGUUUUAGGUAAGUUCUAUUUCGAGAACCCUAGUUUUAAAACACCCCGUGUAAUGGCACUGUUCACGAAUUUAAUUUUGGUUGUGUUUUAGGUUAAACAAAGAUCACCACGAGUCUUAGGAAGUUCCAAGGAGGCUCGGAGUGCCUCGUUUGAACAAAAUGGACGUCGGGAUCGUCGGGUUCGAGUUUGGCCGAAAUUGAAGAAUUUUGAAAGGUUUGAUCUUGUUGUUUUUAGGCCUUAAAACCCUUCCAACGUGUUAGUACAUGUUAAAUGCUUCAUUUUGGUAUAAAAUGCGAAGAAAUUGGUUGAAAAACGAAGGAGAAUAGUGGAUUUGAAAAUUUUCCAGAAACCGGCGAACAGCCGCCGGCGACCGGCGACUCGCCGGAGAAGACAGGGAAUCUUCCGUCAAGUUUGACGGAAUAUUCCGACGCCGUUAGUUAACUUUAACGGAAACCGUUAGUUUUUAACGGAAUAUUCCGGGAAUAUUCCUAACGCCGUUCACUGUAGCCGUCAGUGUGCCUGGCACGUGGCUGCGCGUGGGCCGCGCGUAGGUCCGUGCCACGUCAGGCGCGUGGGGGCGCGUGAGGACUCCAAAAAUUAUUUUAAAAAUAUGGGGAUGAUCCUGAGGUUGUGUAGGUCACUGUGGUAUAUUCAUAUACCCAAUUUGAGCAUCGUAUGAAGAAUUAAUUACCUAGUUUGGUUUAGGUGCGUUAAAUGUGCGUUAAAUGAUUGUUUUAAGUUAUUUCACUUCUAGGUGGAACUUAUAACGAGGACGAGCACAUCCAGGGGCGUCAAGGGGGUUACGACCCGGCGACAUACCAGUGAGUGGGCAUUGCUUUCUAUAUAUAUAUACCUAUAUACUCGAUUUCCCCAGAAAUCAAAUUUAAAUGAAAAAUAUAUUUGAAAUGAAAUGAAAUAUGAUGUGAUUGCCAUGCAUAGAAUGUUAUGGAUAUUAUGAACUGUCGUAUGAUGCAUAUAUGUAUGAUGGUGCUGUGGACGCACAGGUAAGUAUUUAAUUACUGUUAUGUUGAGGAUGAUGAUAUAUUGAGCUCAUAUCCUGCACCAUGGUUUAGUGCUUAUAGUAUUCACCGCAUCGCACGCUCGCCUUGGAUCCAAGUAGAUGCUGGUCGUACAGUCCACGCGGAGUGGGUACGACGGGCCAGUCGUAGAGUGUUAGUGAGAUUAUGACUGGUGGGUGACCUUAGGUUAUUGUAUACAGAUGAUUGAUGAGAGAAGCACUAGAGCGAAUAUUACCAUGAGUCGUUCAGACUACAUUAGGUGGUUCCGACUUAUGUGCAGAAGGCCGGACAGGUCACGCGGAGUGACUCCGGCAGAGAGUGAGAUUGAUAGAUGUUGAGCUCUAGGUUCAAUCGUUCAGGGCUAUUAGAGGGCCUCCGAUUGAUUAUUUCUUUUACCUGAUUAUAUUAUGUUAAUGCAUUCAUACUACACUGUUGAAAUUGGCAUGGUACAUUCUUUAUUGAAUCUGUUAUAAGAUUGAUGAUUGAGACAGUUGAGAUAUAUAUGCUAUAUACUAUUUUUCUGGGAAAGUAUACAGGUUUUCCAAAAAGGGGUUAUAAAUGUGGAUUUAUGAAAUGUUUUGGAAAAGCUUUAUUUUCGCCCACUCACGUUUUCUGUUUUUUCGCCCCUCCAGGUUCUAGUUGAUAGUUGAGGCGUUGGUGGCCUACGAGACUGCUUCGGCGUUCUGACAGACUAAAUAAAUGUAGGAUUCACCCGAGGGUGUUGUAAAUUAGUUAUGUUCCUACUUGACUGCACCUAGAUGCUUAUGCUCUGUUUAUGUGUGUUUAGUACACUCUUAUGCACAUAGAAUGCUCGGUUGUAAAUAACUGCAAUUAGUGGUUUUCGUUGACUCGUAUUUUAUUAUUAAAUCGUUUCCGCUUGCGUUAUGGUUACGUCACACUCACGUGACGGCCAGCACGUCCUAGUCUUCGGGUUAGGGUGUGUCAG
RNAcentral lists this long non-coding RNA (8614 nucleotides) under Malus domestica (apple). RNAcentral's name for it is "long non-coding RNA (MDOM_LNC016118)". Lineage: Eukaryota; Viridiplantae; Streptophyta; Magnoliopsida; Rosales; Rosaceae. The record is from RNAcentral.